RNAcentral lists this long non-coding RNA (1068 nucleotides) under Moschus moschiferus (Siberian musk deer). Its description in RNAcentral is "lncRNA (ENSMMSG00000006357.1)". The record is from RNAcentral. Lineage: Eukaryota; Metazoa; Chordata; Mammalia; Artiodactyla; Moschidae.
GGGCUCGCUCAGCUCCGGCCGAGCUCCUGAGGUCUCCGGAGUCCAGGCACUUGUCAGCAGCUGGGCUCGGCGAGGGGAGGUCGUCGAGGACGCGCCGCCCGGGGUGGGGUCCCUGAGAGUUUCGCCCUUUGGGGGGGCUUGUUCCCGAAGUUCAGGGAGUUUGGAGACAGUCCUCCCGCGCCGGGACAGGGGGAGCGGCGGCGGCGGCGGCGGCCUCGGCGGGGCCCGGGCGAGCGAGGCAGGAAGGCUCGGGGCCCGGGCCCGCGAGGGUCGACCGCGCGCCGCACCCUUCCCUCCGGCCGCCGCGCCGCCCCUCCUCGCCGCGGCCGGAGCCCGCGGGGCCCGCGCCCCUUCCCGCGCUGCGGCCGCCGCCGGAGCCCGUCACAUGCCGUCCGCAGCGCCCAGGCUUGUCCGCGCGGAGGGGCGCCCACAGGCCUCGGCCCCGAGCCGAGCCGCCCUCAGCAACCCCCCACCACCCCGGCCCAAAGUUUUAGCCUUAGAAGCAGUUUCCAGAAGGGGUCGACUCCCGGGGGCCGGGGGGCGACGCGGCCGGGCUGUCAGUGGCGCUCCGAGAGCGCGCUGGAGCGUCCGGGUCGCGACAGCGCGGGGGCUUUGGCUAUCGGGACACGUCCACAACUUUGCUCCGCCGCGGGGCGGGCGCCGGGGAGCUGGCGGUGGUGGUGGUCAGGCACUUCUGAGCCAGGCGAGGCAGGAUGGGGGGGCUUCAGACGGGACCCCGGGAGCGGAGGGAUGCCUGAGCCGGGUCCGGAGCGCAGUGCCGUUCGCCACCAGCCGCGGCGGGGGCGGCUGCAGCUGCGCUGGGGAAGGGGCGAGCGGGGGGAGUGCGGGCUCCCGCCCCGCCAACUCUCGGUAGGGCUCCGGGUUCCCGCUGGGAUCACCUGUUCCCGGUGCCCGCCGGCUCCGCGGAGCGCGCAGUCCCGGCUGCGCCUCCCCCGCUGCAGCUGGCUUUCUCGCCGCGGCCGCUCCAGACGGGCCGCCGCCGCCGCCGCAGGCUGAGCCGCCGCCGCCGAGCCUGCGCCCCACCACGCGCGCACACACCGCCCGGAC